RNAcentral lists this ribosomal RNA (270 nucleotides) under uncultured bacterium. Its description in RNAcentral is "partial 16S ribosomal RNA". It matches the Rfam family "Bacterial small subunit ribosomal RNA", at positions 84 to 353 of the family's 1533-position model. The record is from RNAcentral.
UUUGAUGGCGACCGGCGCACGGGUGAGUAACACGUAUCCAACCUGCCGAUGACUCGGGGAUAGCCUUUCGAGAGAAAGAUUAAUACCCGAUGGCAUAGUUCUUCCGCAUGGUAGAACUAUUAAAGAAUUUCGGUCAUCGAUGGGGAUGCGUUCCAUUAGGUUGUUGGCGGGGUAACGGCCCACCAAGCCUUCGAUGGAUAGGGGUUCUGAGAGGAAGGUCCCCCACAUUGGAACUGAGACACGGUCCAAACUCCUACGGGAGGCAGCAUG